AGCGGGGGAGCAUGUAUAAUUCGAAGAUACGCGAAGAACCUUACCAGGUGGUGACAUCUUGCGCCAACCCUAGAGAUAGGGCGUUUCCUUCGGGAACGCAAUGACAGGUGGAGCAUGGUCGUCGUCAGCUCGUGUCGUGAGAUGUUGGGUUAAGUCCCGCAACGAGCGCAACCCUUGUUACUAGUUGCCAGCAUUAAGUUGGGCACUCUAGUGAGACUGCCGGUGACAAACCGGAGGAAGGUGGGGACGACGUCAGAUCAUCAUGCCCCUUAUGACCUGGGCUACACACGUGCUACAAUGGACGGUACAACGAGUCGCGAACUCGCGAGGGCAAGCAAAUCUCUUAAAACCGUUCUCAGUUCGGACUGCAGGCUGCAACUCGCCUGCACGAAGUCGGAGUAAUCGCGGAUCAGCAUGCCGCGGUGAAUACGUUCCCGGGCCUUGUACACACCGCCCGUCACACCAUGAGAGUUUGUAAAGUCGGUGGGGUAACCUUUUAGGAGCCAGCCGCCUAAGGU
Molecule: ribosomal RNA, 518 nt
Filed under: Limosilactobacillus fermentum
Lineage: Bacteria; Bacillati; Bacillota; Bacilli; Lactobacillales; Lactobacillaceae
Description: bacterial SSU rRNA
Rfam family: Bacterial small subunit ribosomal RNA
Source: RNAcentral